Long non-coding RNA from Siniperca chuatsi (mandarin fish), 710 nucleotides. RefSeq lists it as uncharacterized. Lineage: Eukaryota; Metazoa; Chordata; Actinopteri; Centrarchiformes; Sinipercidae. The transcript is spliced from 4 exons. The record is from RefSeq and is a predicted model, not a curated record.
CCCUGUGUCAAGCAUCCCAGCCCAUUCCUAGUGUUGUUACCUUGUUUGUUUGUUUUUUUUUUACCUGUUUCAUGGAUUUUGGAUAUUGCCUGCUCCCUGUCAGAUUUGUUUGACUUCAUUGGACUGCUUCUCUGGUUUUGACCUCUACCCCAUCUUUCCCCUGCUUGGAGAUGUCCGCAUCAGGUGAACUAGGCAAACUGAGCCUUGCUGGUGACGUCAUGACCGUUCAAGAAGCCCUUCUUCCCACUUCAUCGCCAUGCAGCCUGUCGCCUUCAUCUGUUUGACAAUCAGCCACCUGCUCACUGGCUCCGACGCAGUUAGACUCCAACCAGGACAAAAUUGCAUCACUGGCAAAAUCAUGUGUUUUUGUGGGAUUCGGGGGGUUGCCUAGCAACAGGAUCUUCCUACCUGUAGUUCAAAAACAGCCACCCCUACAGUAAUCCGGAUCCACACUGUAGAGAUGUCAGGUGACGGUAGGACUUUACCACCUUGAGGAGACCGUGUUGGGGCCCUUGUUUGAACAUUUGAAUGUGUUUGUAUGUGGAGAGAACCUGCAAGCUCAAACUUCGAUCACCUCAGUCCCGGAGAAAUCAGCCUGAAAGUUUACCAGCCAAUUGGGAUUUCUCCUGACUACCACUCUACAGUGAAACAUACAAUACAGUAUACUAAUAAAGAUAAUAUCAUCCCUAUUCUGUUCUCUCUUCAUUGGU